RNAcentral lists this ribosomal RNA (254 nucleotides) under uncultured bacterium. RNAcentral describes it as "partial 16S ribosomal RNA". It matches the Rfam family "Bacterial small subunit ribosomal RNA", at positions 524 to 776 of the family's 1533-position model. The record is from RNAcentral.
UACGUAGGGUGCAAGCGUUGUCCGGAAUUAUUGGGCGUAAAGAGCUCGUAGGCGGUCUGUCGCGUCUGCUGUGAAAACUCAGGGCUUAACCCUGAGCUUGCAGUGGGGUACGGGCAGACUAGAGUGCAGCAGAGGAUAGUGGAAUUCCCGGUGUAGUGGUGAAAUGCGUAGAUAUCGGGAGGAACACCAGUGGCGAAGGUGACUAUCUGGGCUGCAACUGACGCUGAGGCGCGAAGGCUAGGGUAGCAAACAGG